RNAcentral lists this ribosomal RNA (254 nucleotides) under uncultured bacterium. RNAcentral describes it as "partial 16S ribosomal RNA". It matches the Rfam family "Bacterial small subunit ribosomal RNA", at positions 524 to 776 of the family's 1533-position model. The record is from RNAcentral.
UACGUAGGGGGCAAGCGUUGUCCGGAUUUAUUGGGCGUAAAGAGCUCGUAGGUGGUUCGGUAAGUCGGAUGUGAAAUCUCCAGGCUCAACCUGGAGGGGUCAUUCGAUACUGCCGUGACUAGAGGUCGGUAGGGGAGUGUGGAAUUCCUGGUGGAGCGGUGAAAUGCGCAGAUAUCAGGAGGAACACCGGUGGCGAAGGCGGGUCUCUGGGCCGUAACUGACGCUGAGGAGCGAAAGCAUGGGGAGCGAACAGG